UACGUAGGGCGCAAGCGUUAUCCGGAAUUAUUGGGCGUAAAGAGCUCGUAGGCGGUUUGUCGCGUCUGCCGUGAAAGUCCGGGGCUCAACUCCGGAUCUGCGGUGGGUACGGGCAGACUAGAGUGCAGUAGGGGAGACUGGAAUUCCUGGUGUAGCGGUGAAAUGCGCAGAUAUCAGGAGGAACACCAGUGGCGAAGGCGAGUCCCUGGACAACACCUGACACUGAGGCACGAAAGCUAGGGGAGCAAACAGG
Molecule: ribosomal RNA, 253 nt
Filed under: uncultured bacterium
Lineage: Bacteria
Description: partial 16S ribosomal RNA
Rfam family: Bacterial small subunit ribosomal RNA
Source: RNAcentral